RNAcentral lists this long non-coding RNA (926 nucleotides) under Dasypus novemcinctus (nine-banded armadillo). Its description in RNAcentral is "lncRNA (ENSDNOG00000050191.1)". The record is from RNAcentral. Lineage: Eukaryota; Metazoa; Chordata; Mammalia; Cingulata; Dasypodidae.
GAGGGAAGAAAAAAAUAUUUUUAGACUCUAAAGAUGUCUUAUAUAAGCAAGUCUCUGCUGAUGCCAUGUAAAAAAUAACUUGUUUUUAUGACUUAGAGCCACUAACCAGGAAGUUGCUCACUGUCCGUCAGCACUUGAUCCUUCUGAAGAGCAAACUGGAGAUGGGAGAAGGAACAUUGUCCUCUGGAUGCCAGAGAAGGCCAGGAUGAUAAUAAACAUCUGGGGAAAAGUCAUUACUGGUACUAAAAAGGGUUACUCUGUUGCUGCCAGAAGAUCUGGGUAUGGGAUAGCCAAACUGAAAUCAGAUGACCAUUCUGUUAAAACCAGGAUCCCGAGAUUGGGGGUUUGUAAGACUAGGAAUUCAGAAAGAGGAAAACAUUCAUCUCUCUCUUAUAGGAAAGUCUUUAAUGGUGUUAUUUGGAAGAAAAGAGAAAGGGAGACAAAGAACCAAAUUCUUGCUUAAUCACAAGAACUAUCCUACUAAACACUCCAUAGUAAACAUACUAUAGUAUUGAUAAUAUUGGGCAAUUUGGGUAGCUGUUAAGAAAUUCUCUUCUAAGACUAAGUUUCAUGUAAAAUAAUAUACUGCAGAAGAAAAGCAACUGGAAUAUUUGCAAUAUUUCAUGAAACAGAGGGAACUUUAGGACACCCCUCCCCCCCAGAAAGAAAAUACACCAGGAAAACCUUUAUAUAAUUAAAUAUUGUAUCUAAAGUCAUGGAAAACACUUAAAUUUUGCUUUAGUUUUUUUUUCAUACUGGAGGCAGAUUAUAUAGUAGUGUACAAGUUUAUUGAAAAUAGGUGUGUGGGACAUAACUCCUUUCGAGAAUAUUAUCACAGCAAAAAGGGUAUGCCUGAAAUUUAGAAAAUCAUAUGUUGUUUAAGGAAUACUCUUGAAUAUAAAAAUAAAAAACUGAAUAUAAUACAG